AUCGGCUGAAGUGUCCCAAAAUAGGACGAAACAUAUGUCCAGUAU
This 45-nucleotide non-coding RNA is filed under the name Trichobilharzia regenti. The record is from RNAcentral. Lineage: Eukaryota; Metazoa; Platyhelminthes; Trematoda; Strigeidida; Schistosomatidae.